This 485-nucleotide long non-coding RNA is filed under the name Rattus norvegicus (Norway rat). Its description in RNAcentral is "long non-coding RNA NONRATT031907". Lineage: Eukaryota; Metazoa; Chordata; Mammalia; Rodentia; Muridae. The record is from RNAcentral.
UGGUUUACCUCAAUGACUUAACUGCCUCUCCUUUAGGUGUCAGUCAGCUAAGCUGGCCUUGGCGCUUUUGCAGCUAGACCACGUUGUGGCUUCUUGUCUACUCCUGAUGUCUUCUUCCUGCCGUGAUUGCUCCUGGGCUGGUUGGUCGACCACUUGACUCCUUCCACAACCCCAUUAGACUGGAGUGACUUGGGGUGUCAAACUCUACCAGGAGUGACUGGGGCACCUUCUCGGGCCCCUUGGGAGCUGGGGACCUGCCAUGUGGUCAGCUGAGAUGCAUCUGGCUGCCACGUUGCUUUCAUAGCUUGCCUGCCAGCCCCCCAGCUCUCUGGGUCACUCCUCUUCUGAUGUUGCCACCAUACUCGGCUCAGUUACCACGCUACUGGAGGUUACCAGCUCAGCCCACACUACUGGAGAUCUACAGGAUGAAAUGAAGGACUGAGAAUAUGAGUGGCUGGGAGAAGCACCAGGGAAAGAGGCAAGAU